AGCCAAAGCUUCCAAGUUAGGUGGUAU
This 27-nucleotide non-coding RNA is filed under the name Mus musculus (house mouse). Lineage: Eukaryota; Metazoa; Chordata; Mammalia; Rodentia; Muridae. The record is from RNAcentral.